Molecule: ribosomal RNA, 467 nt
Filed under: uncultured bacterium
Lineage: Bacteria
Description: partial 16S ribosomal RNA
Rfam family: Bacterial small subunit ribosomal RNA
Source: RNAcentral
GACGAACGCUGGCGGCGUGCUUAACACAUGCAAGUCGAACGGAAAGGCCCUGCUUUUGUGGGGUGCUCGAGUGGCGAACGGGUGAGUAACACGUGAGUAACCUGCCCUUGACUUUGGGAUAACUUCAGGAAACUGGGGCUAAUACCGGAUAGGAGCUCCUGCUGCAUGGUGGGGGUUGGAAAGUUUCGGCGGUUGGGGAUGGACUCGCGGCUUAUCAGCUUGUUGGUGGGGUAGUGGCUUACCAAGGCUUUGACGGGUAGCCGGCCUGAGAGGGUGACCGGCCAAAGUGGGGAGGAAAUACGGCCCAGCCCCCUACGGGGGGCAAGGGGGGGGAAUAUUGCACAAGGGGCGGAAGCCUGAGGCAGCAACGCCGGGGGCGGGAUGGCGGCCUUCGGGUUGUAACCCGUUUUCCCCUGUGACGAAGCGGGAGUGCGGGUAAUGGGUAAAGAAGCACCGGCUAACUACGU